This 439-nucleotide ribosomal RNA is filed under the name uncultured bacterium. RNAcentral describes it as "partial 16S ribosomal RNA". It matches the Rfam family "Bacterial small subunit ribosomal RNA", at positions 339 to 795 of the family's 1533-position model. The record is from RNAcentral.
CUACGGGUGGCAGCAGUGGGGAAUAUUGGACAAUGGAGGAAACUCUGAUCCAGCCAUGCCGCGUGAGUGAAGAAGGCCCUAGGGUUGUAAAACUCUUUCAGUAAGGAAGAUAAUGACGGUACUUACAGAAGAAGCCCCGGCUAACUCCGUGCCAGCAGCCGCGGUAAUACGGAGGGGGCUAGCGUUGUUCGGAAUCACUGGGCGUAAAGCGCGCGUAGGCGGUUUGAAAAGUCAGAUGUGAAAGCCCAGGGCUCAACCCUGGAACUGCAUUUGAAACUAUCAGACUAGAAUUCGGUAGAGGAUAGUGGAAUUCCUAGUGUAACAGUGAAAUGUAUAGAUAUUAGGAGGAACACCAGUGGCGAAGGCGACUAUCUGGGCCGAUAUUGACGCUAAUGUGCGAAAGCGUGGGGAGCAAACAGGAUUAGAUACCCCAGUAGUC